UGCAAGUCGCACGCGAACGUUCCUUCGGGAACUAGUAGAGUGGCGAAAGGGCGAGUAAUGCAUGGGAACGUACCCUGAGCACGAGGAUAGCAUCGGGAAACCGUUGGUAAUACUCGAUAAUGUCUACGGACCAAAUGGCGGGGAUCCUUCGGGACCUGUUGGCUUGGGAGCGGCCCAUGUCGUAUCAGCUUGUUGGUGAGGUAACGGCUCACCAAGGCAACGACGCGUAGCGGGGCUGAGAGGUUGGCCCGCCGCACUGGGACUGAGACACUGCCCAGACUCCUACGGGAGGCUGCAGUAACGAAUAUUGGGCAAUGGGCGAAAGCCUGACCCAGCAAUGCCGCGUGCGGGAGGAAGCCCUUCGGGGUGUAAACCGCUGUCAGGGACCACCAAGCGACCGGGGCCAAUACCCCCGGAAGUUGAGGCGUCCCAGAGGAAGCCACGGCUAACUCCGUGCCAGCAGCCGCGGUAAGACGGAGGUGGCGAGCGUUGUUCGGAAUCACUGGGCUUAAAGAGCACGUAGGCGGGCUGUCAAACGUCUUGUGAAAUCCCUCGGCUUAACCGAGGAAUUGCUGGGCGAACUGAUAGUCUUGAGGCAGGUAGGGGCAAGUGGAACUCUUGGUGGAGCGGUGAAAUGCGUAGAUAUCAAGAGGAACGCCAGAGGUGAAGACGACUUUGCUGGGCCUGACCUGACGCUGAGGUGCGAAAGCCAGGGGAGCGAACGGGAUUAGAUACCCCGGUAGUCCUGGCCCCUAAACGAUGUCCACUAGAUCGCAGGUUCUCUGACGGAGUUGCGGUCGCAAUGAAAACGUUAAGUGGACCGCCUGGGGAGUACGGUCGCAAGGCUAAAACUCAAAGGAAUUGACGGGUGCUCACACAAGCGGUGGAGCAUGUUGCUUAAUUCGAUGCAACGCGAAGAACCUUAUCCUGGGCUUGACAUGCUUGGAUGCCCAUCUGGAAACAGAGUAGGCUGCCCUUCGGGGUGAAACUUGCACAGGUGCUGCAUGGCUGUCGUCAGCUCGUGUCGUGAGAUGUUGGGUUAAGUCCCGUAACGAGCGAAACCCUUGUCGCUAGUUGCCAGCGCGUUAUGGCGGGGACUCUAGCGAGACUGCCGGUGUUAAACCGGAGGAAGGUGGGGAUGACGUCAAGUCCUCAUGGCCUUUAUGCCCAGGGCUGCAAACGUGCUACAAUGGCUUGGACAAACCGACGCGAGACCGCGAGGUGGAGCAAAUCGGAAAAACCAGGCCCCAGUUCAGAUUGCAGUCUGCAACUCGACUGCAUGAAGUUGGAAUCGCUAGUAAUCGCAGAUCAGCGUGCUGCGGUGAAUGUGUUCCUGAGCAUUGUACACACCGCCCGUCAAGUCAUGGAAGCUGGGAGCGCCCGAAGUCGG
This 1390-nucleotide ribosomal RNA is filed under the name uncultured organism. RNAcentral's name for it is "bacterial SSU rRNA". It matches the Rfam family "Bacterial small subunit ribosomal RNA", at positions 56 to 1430 of the family's 1533-position model. The record is from RNAcentral.